Molecule: non-coding RNA, 3592 nt
Organism: Callithrix jacchus (white-tufted-ear marmoset)
Lineage: Eukaryota; Metazoa; Chordata; Mammalia; Primates; Cebidae
Source: RefSeq, a predicted model, not a curated record
CUGAGUAGCUGGGAUUACAGGCACGUGCCACCAUGCCCAGCUAAUUUUUUGUAUUUUUAGUAGAGACGGGGUUUCACCAUGUUGACUAAGAUGGUCUCGAUCUCUUGACCUCGUGAUCCACCCGCCUUGGCCUCCCAAAGUGCUAGGAUUACAGGCUUGAGCCACAGUGCCCAGCCGGCCCCUGUUUUUUAAAACCAAACCCUAAGAUAUUUUUAGAAAUCUGGAAGAUUGUUUGCCAUAAAAAGCUACCAUCACCAAAAAAGCAAGAGAUUUUCUAGCUCUUAAGACAUAAAAGUUGGCUUUAUAUCUGAAUAGUCUAACCCUUAUUUUGGAAAAACUGUUUAAAUAAACCUGUUAGUUUUGCUGAUAUAAAUAAAAUAUAGGUCCAUAGCUUAGAGAAAAGCUUUCAGGUUGUUACUUAACUAAAUGCAAAUAUUGAAAGUGAAUCAGAUACUGCAUAUCAUCACUCUUCCAUCUGCUGUAUACUUUAUAUAUUGUGGUUCAGGGAAACGGCUGUCUCUUAGUUUUAUUAAAGAUGAAAUUUCUACUUUUCUUGAUAAUUUUUCUUGUUUUAGGGUAAUUUAUGAGAGCAUGAUGUGGCAAAAUGAUUUUAUUAUGCUGUUUAAAAAUGGGAAGUGAUUUACCGUACAACUUAAAUGUUUUGACUAUCAUUACAGCAACUCUGUAAGUAAUUAAUUCUGGCACCAUACUUUACAAACAACUUUGUCAAAUUGGAGCUCGUCCAGAGGAGAACAAACAAUCCUGUGAAGGGUCUGGAAACUACAGCUUGUAAGGAAUGAUGGAAAGAGAUGAAGGAAUCAUUGUAACAUAACAAUGGUCAGGAGGUCCCCUGCUCCCAUGCUCAGAAUUGACCUACAGUCCUCAACCCAAUAAUCUCAAGCCCAGAUGAUUACCACUUACAUGGAAGUUUGCACAUCAGAAGAAACAUGUGAAGCGAAUGCCAAGGUACCACAGGGGCGAUCAAUGCACUCACAAACAGAUGGAUUCACCUCUGAGAUGCCAGGAAUCCAGAGGCAACAGGAAGGAGUGCAAAAACGAAGAAGAAGAAUAAAAGAAACCAGCAAGCCCACCUUUCCAUUGCAGAGUUUUAGCCAGAACUGAGAUGGGAUGAAUAAAAUGAGAAAAGCUUGCAUAUUAAACUACACAUUAAAGUUUGUAUAUUUUACAAAGGAUUCUUCCUUAUUCCUUUUCUAUUUAUCCAAACCCCACCUACUCUUGUUUUAUUAUUUGGAAAUGAGAUUGACUAUAACAUGAAAAGCUAUGGAGUCUGCCAUCGUUUUUGGAAAUUUCACCUAAAGCAAGGGAAAAACAAUUCAGCAGAAUAGGUUUAAAGUGAUAGGAAUGAAAAAUAAAGGUGCUUUCUGCUUGCUUUUAACAAGUCCAAUUUGUUUAAUAAAGUGUAGUAUUGUGCUGGUGUUUAUGCACACAUUCUGCAAUUAGUACUUUGGAGCUAAUAACUACAUUUCUCUAAAUAAUUGCAAUGAUGCCUUAUGUUUAUAUUAACAACUUAUAUGUGUCAGACAUUGUGCUAAAUACUUUUACAAGCAUUAUUCCAUUCAAGUUUAGUGAUCAUCUUAAGAAAUUCAUUAAAACUAUUUUACAGUUAAGGAAACAAAGCCUAGGUUAAAUAACUUGAGUAAGAUCACACAGAAAAUGGUGGAGGCAGAACCUGAGCUCAAGUAGCCUGUCUACAAAGCCUAAAUUCUUAUUCAGUGGUUUCCCUUGUAAAACAUUGGACUAGGCAUUAUACAAAAUAAUAAAAUAGUUAAUGUUUUUAAUGUCUAUGUCUAUGCCAAUAUCCAUUUUUAUCAUAUUGUUUUCCAUUUUAAAUACUCAGAAAUGGUCACAUUUUCUACGUUUUUAUCUAGUGGCAGGAAUGGAAUUUUCUGCAGUGAAGUAAAUGAUCUGUAUCUGUGCUGACCAACAUAGCAGUCACUAGACACAUGUGACUGCUGAGCACUUAAAUGCAGCUGGUGCAGUGAAGGAACUAAAUUUUUAUCUGAAUUUUAUUUAAAUUUAUUUAACCUCAAACUUAAAUGAUCAUAUGGGGCUAGUGGCUAUGGCAUUGGAAUAACCAAAGAUAAUACUGCAGGCCUAUCUUGGCCUGUCUGUCUUUUGGCAAAUCCAGGUAUACUAUAUAUCACACACACAUAAUAGAGACUCUAGAUUACCUGAAAAAGAAAGUUCUGGAUUAAGAAGGAGGUAGGUGACUCAUUUCAGCCAAAAAUCCUCCCCCCAAAAAUCUACCUAAUAUCUAGGAUGAUGACAAAGUUUCAAAGAUUCCUUUGGAUAUAGAGAUAUGGAUUUCCAAUAUAUUUUGGGAUGAUCUCACAGAAUCCAAGAUGAUGGACAUUUUUAUGUCACCAAAGUGAUUGUCAUAAAACCCUUUUUUCAAAAUUAAAAAAGGAAUAACUUCCCAGUGGUUAGACUUAGAUUUGAGCUAAAUAUUUACUAUCUGAUCGUCAAGACAUGUACCAACAGCUAGAACAUUCACUUGUUCUAGGCAACAUUUUAAGAAUGACAUUCUGAAAACAAUUUAAAAGACAAUCAAGAUAAAGAAGGUUCUGAAAAGAUGGCCAUAAAAGAAGACAUAGAAUUGUCAGCCAAAAGAGAAGGCACAGAUGUUGUAUAGGUGCUGCUCUCAAGCAAUUGAAUGCUUGUCACAGAGGAGAGAGAGAGUCUUAUUCUAUGCUAUCCAAGGAGAAGGACUAAGAUCAAAAGAGAGGACUUGGGAAAUAGGAAACCCCAAUGUAAGCAAGAGCAGGAAGUUGAGCUAUUCAGCAGAAUUCACUAUUUAAGUAGUGAUGCACUCCAGCCACUAACUAUGUUCAAACAGAUUGCAGAAAAUUUUAAAUUAUAGUUAAAAUGCAAGUCCAGGCUGGGUGUGGUGACACACACCUGUAAUCCUAGCACUUUGGGAGGCCUAGGUGGGUGGAUCACCUGAGGUCAGGAGUUCAACACCAAUGGUGAAACUAUGUCUUCCAAAAAUACAACAAAAAAUUAGGCAGGCUUAGUGGAGUAUGCCUGUAGUCCCAGCUACUCAGGAGGCUGAGGCAGGAGAAUCACUUGAACCCAGGAGGCAGAGGUUGCAGUGAGCUGAGACUACGCCAUUGCACUCCAGCCUGGGCAAGAAGAGUUUCACUCUGUCAUAAAAAAAAUGCAAGCCCAUAUAUUUCUAUGGUACUUAAUGAGAAGUCGUCACAGGGAACCUUAAAAAUGUAAAAGCUUGGUUUAGCCAUUUCUUUAUGUUUUUCUUUAUUUUUUUUAAGGACAGUGUUUUGCAAAUAUUUAUACGUUACUUAUAAAAUGUAAGUUAUAGCCAUAUGUAUGUUAUCUCUUGUCAUUAAAAUUUGGAUAUCUAAAUACGUUUUCUAAGAAGGGCAAAGAGCUUUUGCAUAUAUUUUGUGAUUUAACAGUUCUAAAGACACCGAUGUAUAACUUUGAGAUGAUAAAUAUUUAUUAGACACUAUAUUUGUUGGAAUUAGUUGAAAAUUCUGUGUGUUCUAAUAAAGUUGUAAAUUAUGUUUAUAUAAGAGGCAAAGUUUGCUGAUCAAUCCUGUGGAAAUUGUCC